GUGCUCGCUUUGGCAGCAUAUAUACUAAAAUUGGAACUUUCCAGAGAAGAUUAGCAUGGCCCCUGCGGGAGGUUGACACACACAUUCGUGAAGCAUUCAAUAUUUUC
Molecule: small nuclear RNA, 107 nt
Organism: Tachyglossus aculeatus (Australian echidna)
Lineage: Eukaryota; Metazoa; Chordata; Mammalia; Monotremata; Tachyglossidae
Source: RefSeq, a predicted model, not a curated record